UUAGAGGAAGUAAAAGUCGUAACAAGGUUUCCGUAGGUGAACCUGGGAAGGAUCAUUACAGUAUUCUUUUUGCCAGCGCUUAAUUGCGCGGCGAAAAAACCUUACACACAGUGUUUUUUGUUAUUACAAGAACUCUUGCUUUGGUCUGGACUAGAAAUAGUUUGGGCCAGAGGUUUACUGAACUAAACUUCAAUAUUUAUAUUGAAUUGUUAUUUAUUUUAAUUGUCAAUUUGUUGAUUAAAUUCAAAAAAUCUUCAAAACUUUCAACAACGGAUCUCUUGGUUCUCGCAUCGAUGAAGAACGCAGCGAAAUGCGAUAAGUAAUAUGAAUUGCAGAUUUUCGUGAAUCAUCGAAUCUUUGAACGCACAUUGCGCCCUUUGGUAUUCCAAAGGGCAUGCCUGUUUGAGCGUCAUUUCUCUCUCAAACCUUCGGGUUUGGUAUUGAGUGAUACUCUUAGUCAAACUAGGCGUUUGCUUGAAAUGUAUCGGCAUGAGUGGUACUGGAUACUGCUAUAUGACUUUCAAUGUAUUAGGUUAAUCCAACUCGUUGAAUAGUUUAAUCGUAUAUUUCUCGGUACUCUAGCCUCGGCCUUACAAUAUAACAAACAAGUUGACCUCAAAUCAGG
Molecule: ribosomal RNA, 625 nt
Filed under: Debaryomyces nepalensis
Lineage: Eukaryota; Fungi; Ascomycota; Pichiomycetes; Serinales; Debaryomycetaceae
Description: eukaryotic LSU rRNA
Rfam family: 5.8S ribosomal RNA (bases 259-412)
Source: RNAcentral